The sequence is a non-coding RNA, 312 nucleotides long. It matches the Rfam family "Archaeal signal recognition particle RNA". The record is from Rfam.
UUGGGAACUAGCCCGGGUGGUUAGGCGUCACCUGUAACCCGAAACCGCCAUUAUGCGGGGGGCGAAUGACCGGGACGGCUUUGGCGAUCCUGUCAUAGCCUGAUAAUUCCAACUGAGAAGCCUUGUCCUGUGAGACUAGCGGAGGAGGAUCGAUAUUCCGGAGGGAAUGGAGACUUUUUGCCGUGGGGACCGGUUCAGGCCCGGAAGGGAGCAGACUUACCAUGGACGUCUGGUGCCCACAGGGUUGCAGGGUGGAGGAGGAGUUCCAGGUGCCGGCAGGACACGUAAUUCCAACCCGGCUCGCGUUCCCGU